Molecule: ribosomal RNA, 253 nt
Filed under: uncultured bacterium
Lineage: Bacteria
Description: partial 16S ribosomal RNA
Rfam family: Bacterial small subunit ribosomal RNA
Source: RNAcentral
UACGAAGGGGGCUAGCGUUGUUCGGAAUUACUGGGCGUAAAGCGCACGUAGGCGGACUACUAAGUCAGGGGUGAAAUCCCGGGGCUCAACCCCGGAACUGCCUUUGAUACUGAUAGUCUCGAGUCCGGAAGAGGUGAGUGGAAUUCCGAGUGUAGAGGUGAAAUGCGUAGAGAUCGGCAGGAACACCCAGGGGGAAACCAGUGGACUGGCACGGAGCUGACGCUCAGGUGCGAAAGCGUGGGGAGCGAACCGG